Planococcus citri (citrus mealybug) is the source of this 419-nucleotide long non-coding RNA. RefSeq lists it as uncharacterized. The transcript has 3 exons. NCBI's taxonomy places the organism in Eukaryota, Metazoa, Arthropoda, Insecta, Hemiptera, Pseudococcidae. The record is from RefSeq and is a predicted model, not a curated record.
AAAUUAAAUGAUAAAAUUGGUUAUUGAUAUUUGUACGAAUUCCUCUAAUUCAAGAGUGAAAAGUUUUGGUUGCCUGUUUCCAACUUUAACUCUCUCACUAUACAACAUGCCAGGAGGUACUAUUUGCAAAGAACAAAAUACCAAGUGCAAAUGCAUCGUUAGAGAAAGAACUAUUUGCCCGAAGAAAAGUUCCUGUGGAAACCCUUGCGAAUCGGAUGCCUGUGUCGAAGUGUACAGAGAUUUGGGAGAGUGUUUAAAAAAAGCUAUCGUCAGUGCAGUAAAAAAAGAAAAAGAAUGCUGCGAUUGUUAAAAUGUAAAAUUCGUCAUACCACAAACAUUUAUAAUGCAUAUUAUGUGUAGACCUAAUUUUAUCAUAAUUUAUGAUCGAAAAUUAAAAUAUAUCUACUUUUUGAAUUGAA